CCAUGAGAUCCCUCUUUCUCUCUCUCUCUCUCUCUCUCUUUUUUGCCUCGCGUAUAAUAAUUUAGAUAAGAGCAGAAGAAAUAAACUGUGGGAAGUUGGCAAGCCAUCAUGGAAGGAAUGAGACACAUGGAAGAGGUUAAAAAGUGGCCAAAUUCUGGCACAAUAUGGGGAAGGAAAGCCCAAAAGAACGGCACUGGUUUCAAGAUUGGGAUGUGAUAGAUUUGGAAAAUAAUUAUUCCUCUGCACUAAAAAAAAUAUAAAGGAGCUUAUUUAGUUGGAAGUUAAUCCUAAUACAAAGAUGUCUUUAUGUGCUGGAAAAAAUUAUAAAUUAGGACUAGGAUAUUUUAAGAAAGCAACUCUUUUCAACAUAAGAAGCGAGUAAACUCCACAUAAUAGAACUUAAA
This 404-nucleotide long non-coding RNA is filed under the name Phoenix dactylifera (date palm). RNAcentral's name for it is "long non-coding RNA (PDAC_LNC022839)". Lineage: Eukaryota; Viridiplantae; Streptophyta; Magnoliopsida; Arecales; Arecaceae. The record is from RNAcentral.